GGUGAACGCUGGCGGCGUGCCUAACACAUGCAAGUCGAGCGGAGAAUUGUUGCUUGCAACAAUUCUUAGCGGCGGACGGGUGAGUAACACGUGUGUAACCUGCCCUAAACAAAGGGAUAACAAUGAGAAAUCAUUGCUAAUACCGUAUAAGCUUACACUAUCGCAUGAUAGAGUAAGAAAAGAUUUAUCGGUUUAGGAGGGGCCCGCGUCUGAUUAGCUAGUUGGAGAGGUAACGGCUCACCAAGGCGACGAUCAGUAGCCGACCUGAGAGGGUGAUCGGCCACAUUGGGACUGAGACACGGCCCAAACUCCUACGGGAGGCAGCAGUGGGGAAUAUUGCACAAUGGAGGAAACUCUGAUGCAGCAACGCCGCGUGAAGGAAGAAGGUUUUCGGAUCGUAAACUUCUAUCUACAGGGAAGAAAAAAAUGACGGUACCUGAGGAAGAAGCCCCGGCUAACUACGUG
This 465-nucleotide ribosomal RNA is filed under the name uncultured bacterium. RNAcentral describes it as "partial 16S ribosomal RNA". It matches the Rfam family "Bacterial small subunit ribosomal RNA", at positions 28 to 507 of the family's 1533-position model. The record is from RNAcentral.